GGGUUCAGUGGUAGCACAUCUUCUUGGCAUGCAGAAGGUCACGGGUUCAAUCCCCAGCAGUUCCA
RNAcentral lists this transfer RNA (65 nucleotides) under Sphaerodactylus townsendi. Its description in RNAcentral is "tRNA-Ala". Lineage: Eukaryota; Metazoa; Chordata; Lepidosauria; Squamata; Sphaerodactylidae. The record is from RNAcentral.